RNAcentral lists this unclassified non-coding RNA (307 nucleotides) under plant metagenome. RNAcentral's name for it is "partial contains 5.8S ribosomal RNA, internal transcribed spacer 2, and large subunit ribosomal RNA". The stretch from base 1 to 105 matches the Rfam family "5.8S ribosomal RNA", at positions 50 to 154 of the family's 154-position model. The record is from RNAcentral.
GAAAUGCGAUAAGUAGUGUGAAUUGCAGAAUUUAGCGAAUCAUCGAAUCUUUGAACGCACAUUGCGCCCCUUGGUAUUCCAUGGGGCAUGCCUGUUCGAGUGUCAUUUCAACCCUCAAGCACUGCUUGGUGUUGGGCGUUUGUCCCGCCUACGCGCGUGGACUCGCCUCAAAGUCAUUGGCAGCUGUUCCCCUUCGGCUCGUAAGCGCAGCACAGUCGGCGCCCGGAGCUCUGGUGGGAUGGCGUCCAGCAAGCUAUAUUUUCAGGCUUGACCUCGGAUCAGGUAGGGAUACCCGCUGAACUUAAGC